AAUUGAAUAUCUUCUGCAUGUACAACAUAACUUUGUUUAGUGCGAGAUGUCUCUGUAAUGGCCUGCGAAUACCUGAUGUUGCUUUUCGUUUCGGUGGAUUCCUGAAUUGAAGCAUUAUGCACCGGGUGUUCUGACAAUUCUGGUCGGAACUAAGCUUAAUCUCCGGGAUGAUGAGCAAUACCUUAUAGACCAUCCUGCUGCAACACCCAUAUCUACAGCUCAGGGAGAGGAGUUGAAGAAACAGAUAGGGGCUCCUGCCUACAUCGAGUGUAGUUCAAAAACACAGCAG
This is a long non-coding RNA of Hibiscus syriacus, 289 nucleotides long. RefSeq lists it as uncharacterized. NCBI's taxonomy places the organism in Eukaryota, Viridiplantae, Streptophyta, Magnoliopsida, Malvales, Malvaceae. The transcript has 3 exons. The record is from RefSeq and is a predicted model, not a curated record.